GACGAACGCUGGCGGCGUGCUUAACACAUGCAAGUCGAACGGAAAGGCCCUGCUAGUUUGGUGUGCUCGGUUGCCGAACGGGGAAGUAACAGGUAUGUAACCGGCCCUUGACUUUGGUGUAACUUCAGGAAACUGAGGCUAAUACCGUAUAGGAUCUCCUGCUGCGUGGUGGGGGGUGGAAAUUUUCGGCGGGUGGGGAUGGACGCGCGGCUGAUCGCCUUGUUGGUUGGGGAGUGGCUGACCAAGGCUUGGACGGGUAGCCGGCAUGAGAGGGGGAACGGCGACAUGGGGACUGAGAUACGGAGCAGACUGCUACGGGAGGCAGCAGUGGGGAAUCUUGCACAAUGGGAGGAAGCGGGAUGAAGCAACGCCGCGUGCGGGAUGACGGCCUUUGGGUUGUGAAAAGCUUUAGGCUGUGACGACGCGUGAGUGACGGUACUGGAUAAAGAAGCACCGGCUAACUACGUG
RNAcentral lists this ribosomal RNA (468 nucleotides) under uncultured bacterium. RNAcentral describes it as "partial 16S ribosomal RNA". It matches the Rfam family "Bacterial small subunit ribosomal RNA", at positions 28 to 507 of the family's 1533-position model. The record is from RNAcentral.